RNAcentral lists this ribosomal RNA (287 nucleotides) under uncultured bacterium. RNAcentral describes it as "partial 16S ribosomal RNA". It matches the Rfam family "Bacterial small subunit ribosomal RNA", at positions 335 to 618 of the family's 1533-position model. The record is from RNAcentral.
UUGCCUACGGGGCGCAGCAGUGAGGAAUAUUGGUCAAUGGGCGCAAGCCUGAACCAGCCAAGUCGCGUGAGGGAAGACGGCCCUACGGGUUGUAAACCUCUUUUGCCGGGGGGCAAGCCUGAGCACGUGUGCCCAGGCGGAGAGUACCCGGAGAAAAAGCAUCGGCUAACUCCGUGCCAGCAGCAGCGGUAAUACGGAGGAUGCGAGCGUUAUCCGGAUUUAUUGGGUUUAAAGGGUGCGCAGGCGGGCUGUUAAGCCGGCGGUAAAACUUCAGGGCUCAACCCUUG